RNAcentral lists this ribosomal RNA (253 nucleotides) under uncultured bacterium. Its description in RNAcentral is "partial 16S ribosomal RNA". It matches the Rfam family "Bacterial small subunit ribosomal RNA", at positions 524 to 776 of the family's 1533-position model. The record is from RNAcentral.
GACGUAGGGCGCGAGCGUUGUCCGGAUUUAUUGGGCGUAAAGAGCUCGUAGGCGGCUUGUUGCGUCGACCGUGAAAACCCGGGGCUCAACUUCGGGCUUGCGGUCGAUACGGGCGGGCUAGAGUUCGGUAGGGGAGACUGGAAUUCCUGGUGUAGCGGCGAAAUGCGCAGAUAUCAGGGGGAACACCGGUGGCGAAGGCGGGUCUCUGGGCCGAUACUGACGCUGAGGAGCGAAAGCGUGGGGAGCGAACAGG